UGUUUAAUAGAGCUUUUGCUCGUGAACCAAAUAUGGUCGGCUGGGUUGUCUUUGCGGAAACGCUUAGGCGACUUGUCUACGAAUUGUAAUCAUAAUAUGCGCGACGGUGAAUCCUUUGCAGACGACUUGAAUGGGAACGGGGUACUGUAAGUGGUAGAGUAGCCUUGUUGCUACGAUCCACUGAGGUUAAGCCCUUGUUCUAAAGAUUUGUUCA
Molecule: ribosomal RNA, 214 nt
Filed under: Armillaria mellea
Lineage: Eukaryota; Fungi; Basidiomycota; Agaricomycetes; Agaricales; Physalacriaceae
Description: partial 26S ribosomal RNA
Rfam family: Eukaryotic large subunit ribosomal RNA
Source: RNAcentral